RNAcentral lists this ribosomal RNA (252 nucleotides) under uncultured bacterium. RNAcentral describes it as "partial 16S ribosomal RNA". It matches the Rfam family "Bacterial small subunit ribosomal RNA", at positions 524 to 776 of the family's 1533-position model. The record is from RNAcentral.
UACGUAGGGUGCGAGCGUUGUCCGGAAUUAUUGGGCGUAAAGGGCUCGUAGGCGGUCUGUUGCGUCGGGAGUGAAAACUCAGGGCUUAACCCUGGGCCUGCUUCCGAUACGGGCAGACUGAGGUAUGCAGGGGAGAACGGAAUUCCUGGUGUAGCGGUGAAAUGCGCAGAUAUCAGGAGGAACACCGGUGGCGAAGGCGGUUCUCUGGGCAUGUCCUGACGCUGAGGAGCGAAAGUGUGGGGAGCGAACAGG